Triticum aestivum (bread wheat) is the source of this 1007-nucleotide long non-coding RNA. RefSeq lists it as uncharacterized. NCBI's taxonomy places the organism in Eukaryota, Viridiplantae, Streptophyta, Magnoliopsida, Poales, Poaceae. The record is from RefSeq and is a predicted model, not a curated record. The transcript is spliced from 3 exons.
ACCGAGGAGGUUGGCCUUCUCCACUUCUCCUCCCCUCCACUUUUCUCACUCUUGCGCUUCCAUCCUCACCGGGGCUACAAAUACGUUCCCCUUGCGGGUGUGGCGACUGCGUGGUCGAGACGGCGUCCGUAGAACCCUAAACAAUCUUUCCCAAUCUUUUCCACCUGCUCCGGGUCCUCCUUCUACUGCCGGCCUCCCCACGCCGGUGUUCAGACCCGUCCCUUCUGUCGUUCCUCCGCUCCGGGUCCUCCUCGAGGCGGCAGCAUCGGACGCAACAGACGCGGCGGACGCGACUCGCGGCCCCGGUUUGUGCGGGAUCCAUCAAGGUGGCCUCGGGAAGGAGCAGGUCGCCGGUAUCCCCACGCCUCCUCGCGGCCGCCAUGGCAGGCAAGCAAUCACCUCGCAGCCGAUUUAUUCUCUGCGCACGCCAUGCCUCCCCUGCGGUUUCUCCUCGCGCUGACGGCCUGGGACGCACGCACCGGAUGAGACCCUCCCUGCCGCGGAGGAGAAGCUCGCCGGCCUCCCCCUGCCUCCUUGACGUAGAUAUCAAUGCUCGCAAGCCCAGCUUCAAGAAGACGGUGUGCCAUGUUAAGGUUCCAAAUGUUCUAAACCUCUGCAUAUUCAGGUUCGAUUCAGAAUUUGAGAAGCAGGUGCUUACGGUGUCACGCAGUACAGUGAAAAAGGCGUUCAAAUAUACUUAACAGGUCCAUCAUUUCAGCUUCCGGUUCAUUCAUCUAUCUAAAUUGUGAGGAGGAGCUAUCAAGGCUAGGGAUGUGUAUACAUCACUCCUAGCCACCGGAAGAAGUGGCCAGUUUUCCCCGUACACCUAAUUGUCUACAAUUUUGAUUGAUUUAUUAUUUUUGCAAGAAUUUGAAACUGCAGGACGCCGGAGGCAUCCAAUAGUUGUGAUUUCCUGUUUGCUUUUGUCAAAUAUCUUCAGAAUUGUAAAAGUCACUCGCCUUAUUAAUCUUUUCGUCUCCACAGAGGUUAUGUUUGUGAGCACGUUU